GAUGAACGCUAGCGGCAGGCCUAACACAUGCAAGUCGAGGGGCAGCACAGAAACAGCAAUGUUUUGGUGGCGACCGGCGGACGGGUGCGUAACGCGUAUGCAACCUACCUUUAACAGGGGGAUAACGGAGAGAAAUUUCCACUAAUACCCCAUAACAUCGAUCAAGGCAUCUUGAUUGGUUGAAAACUCCGGUGGUUAAAGAUGGGCAUGCGUUGUAUUAGGUAGUUGGUGAGGUAAUGGCUCACCAAGCCUACGAUACAUAGGGGGACUGAGAGGUUAGCCCCCCACACUGGUACUGAGACACGGACCAGACUCCUACGGGAGGCAGCAGUGAGGAAUAUUGGUCAAUGGGGGCAACCCUGAACCAGACAUGCCGCGUGCAGGAAGACGGCUCUAUGAGUUGUAAACUGCUUUUGUACGAGGGUAAACCCAGGGACGUGUCCUUGGUUGAAAGUACCGUACGAAUAAGGAUCGGCUAACUCCGUGCCAGCAGCCGCAGUAA
RNAcentral lists this ribosomal RNA (502 nucleotides) under uncultured bacterium. Its description in RNAcentral is "partial 16S ribosomal RNA". It matches the Rfam family "Bacterial small subunit ribosomal RNA", at positions 28 to 523 of the family's 1533-position model. The record is from RNAcentral.